AACGAACGCUGGCGGCAUGCCUAACACAUGCAAGUCGAACGAGACCUUCGGGUCUAGUGGCGCACGGGUGCGUAACGCGUGGGAACCUGCCCUUAGGUUCGGAAUAACUCCCCGAAAGGGGUGCUAAUACCGGAUAAUGUCUUCGGACCAAAGAUUUAUCGCCUUUGGAUGGGCCCGCGUUGGAUUAGCUAGUUGGUAGGGUAAAAGCCUACCAAGGCGACGAUCCAUAGCUGGUCUGAGAGGAUGAUCAGCCACACUGGGACUGAGACACGGCCCAGAAUCCUACGGGAGGCAGCAGUGGGGAAUAUUGGACAAUGGGCGAAAGCCUGAUACAGCAAUGCCGCGUGAGUGAUGAAGGCCUUAGGGUUGUAAAGCUCUUUUACCCGGGAUGAUAAUGACAGUACCGGGAGAAUAAGCACCGGCUAACUCCGUG
RNAcentral lists this ribosomal RNA (433 nucleotides) under uncultured bacterium. Its description in RNAcentral is "partial 16S ribosomal RNA". It matches the Rfam family "Bacterial small subunit ribosomal RNA", at positions 29 to 507 of the family's 1533-position model. The record is from RNAcentral.